AGUGAACGCUGGCGGUAGGCCUAACACAUGCAAGUCGAACGGCAGCACAGUAAGAGCUUGCUCUUACGGGUGGCGAGUGGCGGACGGGUGAGGAAUACAUCGGAAUCUACUUUUUCGUGGGGGAUAACGUAGGGAAACUUACGCUAAUACCGCAUACGACCUACGGGUGAAAGCAGGGGAUCUUCGGCCCUUGCGCGAUUGAAUGAGCCGAUGUCGGAUUAGCUAGUUGGCGGGGUAAAGGCCUACCAAGGCGACGAUCCGUAGCUGGUCUGAGAGGAUGAUCAGCCACACUGGAACUGAGACACGGUCCAGACUCCUACGGGAGGCAGCAGUGGGGAAUAUUGGACAAUGGGCGCAAGCCUGAUCCAGCCAUACCGCGUGGGUGAAGAAGGCCUUCGGGUUGUAAAGCCCUUUUGUUGGGAAAGAAAAGCAGCAGGUUAAUACCCCGCUGUUCUGACGGUACCCAAAGAAUAAGCACCGGCUAACUUCGUG
RNAcentral lists this ribosomal RNA (492 nucleotides) under uncultured bacterium. RNAcentral's name for it is "partial 16S ribosomal RNA". It matches the Rfam family "Bacterial small subunit ribosomal RNA", at positions 29 to 507 of the family's 1533-position model. The record is from RNAcentral.